UUUUGCACUAUUGUGCUGCAUUUCAGGGACGCUAGUGCAGUGUGGCUUGGCAUUGUAAUUCUAGAAAAUGAUUUCUCUCGUUAUUUUCAAGCACACAUGGACUGCACCAAGUGGUUGGAUGCCAUUUUAUUUCACCCAACUGCGCAUGCUCAGAAAGCUAAGUAUUUUAAUGGAGAGUUGCGGGAGGCUGAGGCUGGAUAGUCCCUAACCCAGACAUGCCAGAGCCUUUUACAAUUACUGAUUGAUCUGUGAUGAGAGUAAGGUGAUGUGCGUGCCUAAAGACACGGCUAUCUACUGACACCAAUCGCUUCAAGGCCUUAGUUGAGUAUCCACUGCACUGAGUUCUGUGUUUAUAAUUCGUGUACUUCAUUUUACUUGAAUCUCUUCAAAUAAGGAGGUAUUGCCACAGUGAAAUAAAAUGGUGGAUAUGAAACAAGGAGUCAGGAGCUUAUUGCCAGCAAAAUAAGAUUGUACUCCUGUCCAGCAGCAGCAUAUGGAUAAAGCUUAAAGCCUGUGACUGUUUCUACAACUAUACUACAGUUCCUCCUUCCCACCUCCAUGUGUCUCCCUUUCUCUCUGUCCCUCUCUAUCUUACACUGAAGCUCCAUCAAUAAACCUAGGCCUCCUGUAAUGAAUACAAGAUUUCAAACUCUUGUCAAAUUAUAUUUCUGUUAAAUAUAGAUUUAAUCUUAUUUUUAACAAAUAUUGUUUAUUUUUCUUAUUUUCAAUAGUAUACGAUUCAACUGC
Molecule: long non-coding RNA, 747 nt
Organism: Amphimedon queenslandica
Lineage: Eukaryota; Metazoa; Porifera; Demospongiae; Haplosclerida; Niphatidae
Exons: 5
Source: RefSeq, a predicted model, not a curated record